This is a long non-coding RNA of Plectropomus leopardus (leopard coralgrouper), 610 nucleotides long. RefSeq lists it as uncharacterized. The record is from RefSeq and is a predicted model, not a curated record. Lineage: Eukaryota; Metazoa; Chordata; Actinopteri; Perciformes; Serranidae.
CGAAGUGCGUGUGUUUGUUAACAUGGAAACAUACCCAAAAAUAUCAGAGUAGCAAGACAGAGCUCAGUACAAAGCAAGACCAAGAUGGCAAAAUUACGGUAAGCAGUUGAAGAGGCACUGGAAUCAUUGUUUCGAAUGAGCUGCAUCGAGACGCUGCAGCUGAUCCUCAUCACAAACAACUGAUGCAGCAGGAGGGGGACAGGCAGGACAACGACCAGUGAGGAGAUAUUAGAAACUGUGCGACGUCUCCAAAACCGAGUGAAACGAAAGGCGCUAUGAUCCGAUACAAAGAAACUGCGACGUCUCCAAAACCGAGUGAAACGACAGGCGCUAUGACCCGAUACAAAGUUGCUGGAAGCGAGGAGAGCUGUCUUGACCAAAAAGGAAAAUGGAUAUUUGGAGAAGAAUCACAAUAGACAUGAUAUCUGAUGAGGACGACUGCACCGCUGACAGGGAAGCUACGGAUUGUGUGGCCACCAUCCUUUAGAAGCCAGGAGCUCUCUGAACUAUAUGCUCUUCUUGAGGAGAGACUGAAGGGAACCUAAAAUAUGUAGCAACACACCACAAAAGGCUGCGUAUCGUGCUGCCUUCAUUCAGACCGGCACCGACA